Molecule: long non-coding RNA, 677 nt
Organism: Gasterosteus aculeatus aculeatus (three-spined stickleback)
Lineage: Eukaryota; Metazoa; Chordata; Actinopteri; Perciformes; Gasterosteidae
Source: Ensembl
CACACAGACUUUACUCUGAAUAAACGGGCACUGCUCUGUGUUUAACUGCUGUGACACACGUCCCUUCGAUGGCACACCCUUAACACACACAGGCACGGUCACGUGCUUCUCCUCGAUGCAUGAAGACUCACUGCAGUCCUCACACCAACAUCCCCUCCUCGGCACACUCAGGUGUGUUGUUGUGGGAGAAGAUAAGCAGGCUGACGGCUGAUAACAUCACUACUGUCAUGCAGAUGAGCACUCAGCUGUUGUGUGUAAAGAACAGGGGCGUUUGUGUGCACACUCAUGUGAGAGGGUGAUGGGGACUGAGGGCCUUUGUCGUGUCAAGGAAGUCAAUUGUCAGGAGGCACUGAAGCAGAAUCCGUCCUGUUAAUUGCUGGAGCAAUGAGGUGGGGGUGCUGCACUGUCCACCCAACCGUUGGAGUCGGAUAAGCUGUAAUUAAAAAAACGUUCUCUCACUUAUUCCUAAUAUUUGGAGAUAUGUCUUUGCCUUGAUCAUCUUCUAAAUCCAUGUCAACCUGUGCGAAUUAGCACAAAGUAGAACGAAGGCUGUGAGAAUGUAAUUAUAGACAAAAUGUUCAUCAGCAUUUAUCUUUUGAGCUGAUGGCUGUAGAGGACAAAUCGCCAAACAACUGUCUUGAGGAGGAUGUGAGUGUCGGGAAAGAACUUGCAGUGUU